GCGCCGUUAGCUCAAUUGGCAGAGCAGCGGACUCUUAAUCCGCGGGUUCGGGGUUCAAGUCCCUGACGGCGCACCG
RNAcentral lists this transfer RNA (76 nucleotides) under Frankia abietis. Its description in RNAcentral is "Frankia sp. AiPa1 tRNA-Lys". It matches the Rfam family "tRNA". Rfam says of the family: Transfer RNA (tRNA) molecules are approximately 80 nucleotides in length. Their secondary structure includes four short double-helical elements and three loops (D, anti-codon, and T loops). The record is from RNAcentral. Lineage: Bacteria; Bacillati; Actinomycetota; Actinomycetes; Frankiales; Frankiaceae. RNAcentral also lists the same sequence under 3 other names.